AUCCAGAUGACGCGUCUUAAGUAGGAUGAAACGCGCGUCCUGGAU
Non-coding RNA from Schistosoma mattheei, 45 nucleotides. The record is from Rfam. Lineage: Eukaryota; Metazoa; Platyhelminthes; Trematoda; Strigeidida; Schistosomatidae.